Molecule: long non-coding RNA, 1109 nt
Filed under: Phaseolus vulgaris (common bean)
Lineage: Eukaryota; Viridiplantae; Streptophyta; Magnoliopsida; Fabales; Fabaceae
Description: long non-coding RNA (PVUL_LNC000822)
Source: RNAcentral
UUAUUGAGUGGCACAUGUACCAUGUAUUUUGAAUUCACGUAUUGAUACUUGCAGAAGCUACUAAAAAGCUUCCAGAGAUUCUUGUUGACCAGAUUCUUCACCCUUGAGCUGCUAUCUUGUGAGCAAUUCCAAGUUGCAACUGCUGCAAAAGCUUCAUGGUCUUUUUUGUUGUAUGGUAUCUAAUAUAUAUAUCAUUUAGGUAAAGAUUACUUAAUGUAGUUUCAUAUUGAUAUAGAGAAAUGAAUGAAAUUACAUCUGCUUUUUUUUUCUUUCAUUAAUCAAAAAGAUCCUACAGGGCUUUUGAUCUUUGAGCGAACAAAGUAGUAUCACACAAAAUGCCCAUUUAGAUAUGCAUUUGAAGUUUUUACAGGAUGGGUUUUAAGGUGCAUUAGCAUGAUAUGUGGUCUAUCAUUAAUCGCAUUUGUGUUUAUAAAUUAAUAUCAUUAUAACGCAUCCUUCAGACCAAAUUCUUCUCCUCUCCACAUCUAAACUAAUUUGACCAAAUUCUCUCCUUCUCUACAUCUGAACUAAUUUUGGUGAUUUUUUGCAGUGGCCAUUGUCAACCAUAUAACUUGCUUUCUUUAUCUCUAUGACUGUUGUCAUUCUCAACAUCACAUCCCUCCACAGGUAUCAGUGACUGGCUCCACAAGUAUCAGUGACUGGUGUUCUAUUCGACUAUAAGGGGUUUCUGGAAUGGUGGUUUCCAUUAUCUUGGUGUUCUAUUAGACUAUAAGGGAUUUCUGGAAUGGUGGUUUCCUUAAAAGUGGACUAGGAGGAUGACAAUGGCAACGACAAUGAUUAGAAGAUUGUAGUAUGGUGGUCGACAAUUCUGUGGAAAGGAGAAGGAAUAUGGGAUGGAAUGGUUUACCGAAAUAAACACAAAAUUAGUUUGAGGGCUAAAAUUUGUAGAGCACUGUAAACCACUCUCAUGAAAGUGUGACUCCUGUGAUAUUUCUUUGUUGUUGGCAUAAUGGCAAAUAUUUCCUCUAUAGUGGUACUUCGUUAAAUAUUUUACACUACUAUUUCAGUUAGUGAUUAUUAUUAUUCACACUGUAUAUCUCAUGUAAGCACAUUAAUGUAAUUGGAUUUUUUUUUCUCUCAAACUUAAA